UACCAACCCGAUGCAAACUGCGAAUACCGGAGAAUGUUAUCACGGGAGACACACGGCGGGUGCUAACGUCCGUCGUGAAGAGGGAAACAACCCAGACCGCCAGCUAAGGUCCCAAAGUCAUGGUUAAGUGGGAAACGAUGUGGGAAGGCCCAGACAGCCAGGAUGUUGGCUUAGAAGCAGCCAUCAUUUAAAGAAAGCGUAAUAGCUCACUGGUCGAGUCGGCCUGCGCGGAAGAUGUAACGGGGCUAAACCAUGCACCGAAGCUGCGGCAGCGACGCUGAUGCGUUGUUGGGUAGGGGAGCGUUCUGUAAGCCUGUGAAGGUGUGCUGUGAGGCAUGCUGGAGGUAUCAGAAGUGCGAAUGCUGACAUAAGUAACGAUAAAGCGGGUGAAAAGCCCGCUCGCCGGAAGACCAAGGGUUCCUGUCCAACGUUAAUCGGGGCAGGGUGAGUCGACCCCUAAGGCGAGGCCGAAAGGCGUAGUCGAUGGGAAACAGGUUAAUAUUCCUGUACUUGGUGUUACUGCGAAGGGGGGACGGAGAAGGCUAUGUUGGCCGGGCGACGGUUGUCCCGGUUUAAGCGUGUAGGCUGGUUUUCCAGGCAAAUCCGGAAAAUCAAGGCUGAGGCGUGAUGACGAGGCACUACGGUGCUGAAGCAACAAAUGCCCUGCUUCCAGGAAAAGCCUCUAAGCAUCAGGUAACAUCAAAUCGUACCCCAAACCGACACAGGUGGUCAGGUAGAGAAUACCAAGGCGCUUGAGAGAACUCGGGUGAAGGAACUAGGCAAAAUGGUGCCGUAACUUCGGGAGAAGGCACGCUGAUAUGUAGGUGAAGUCCCUCGCGGAUGGAGCUGAAAUCAGUCGAAGAUACCAGCUGGCUGCAACUGUUUAUUAAAAACACAGCACUGUGCAAACACGAAAGUGGACGUAUACGGUGUGACGCCUGCCCGGUGCCGGAAGGUUAAUUGAUGGGGUUAGCCGCAAGGCGAAGCUCUUGAUCGAAGCCCCGGUAAACGGCGGCCGUAACUAUAACGGUCCUAAGGUAGCGAAAUUCCUUGUCGGGUAAGUUCCGACCUGCACGAAUGGCGUAAUGAUGGCCAGGCUGUCUCCACCCGAGACUCAGUGAAAUUGAACUCGCUGUGAAGAUGCAGUGUACCCGCGGCAAGACGGAAAGACCCCGUGAACCUUUACUAUAGCUUGACACUGAACAUUGAGCCUUGAUGUGUAGGAUAGGUGGGAGGCUUUGAAGUGUGGACGCCAGUCUGCAUGGAGCCGACCUUGAAAUACCACCCUUUAAUGUUUGAUGUUCUAACGUUGACCCGUAAUCCGGGUUGCGGACAGUGUCUGGUGGGUAGUUUGACUGGGGCGGUCUCCUCCUAAAGAGUAACGGAGGAGCACGAAGGUUGGCUAAUCCUGGUCGGACAUCAGGAGGUUAGUGCAAUGGCAUAAGCCAGCUUGACUGCGAGCGUGACGGCGCGAGCAGGUGCGAAAGCAGGUCAUAGUGAUCCGGUGGUUCUGAAUGGAAGGGCCAUCGCUCAACGGAUAAAAGGUACUCCGGGGAUAACAGGCUGAUACCGCCCAAGAGUUCAUAUCGACGGCGGUGUUUGGCACCUCGAUGUCGGCUCAUCACAUCCUGGGGCUGAAGUAGGUCCCAAGGGUAUGGCUGUUCGCCAUUUAAAGUGGUACGCGAGCUGGGUUUAGAACGUCGUGAGACAGUUCGGUCCCUAUCUGCCGUGGGCGCUGGAGAACUGAGGGGGGCUGCUCCUAGUACGAGAGGACCGGAGUGGACGCAUCACUGGUGUUCGGGUUGUCAUGCCAAUGGCACUGCCCGGUAGCUAAAUGCGGAAGAGAUAAGUGCUGAAAGCAUCUAAGCACGAAACUUGCCCCGAGAUGAGUUCUCCCUGACUCCUUGAGAGUCCUGAAGGAACGUUGAAGACGACGACGUUGAUAGGCCGGGUGUGUAAGCGCAGCGAUGCGUUGAGCUAACCGGUACUAAUGAACCGUGAGGCUUAACCUU
Molecule: ribosomal RNA, 2012 nt
Filed under: Escherichia coli MP021561.2
Lineage: Bacteria; Pseudomonadati; Pseudomonadota; Gammaproteobacteria; Enterobacterales; Enterobacteriaceae
Description: bacterial LSU rRNA
Rfam family: Bacterial large subunit ribosomal RNA
Source: RNAcentral